Molecule: ribosomal RNA, 117 nt
Organism: Sinocyclocheilus anshuiensis
Lineage: Eukaryota; Metazoa; Chordata; Actinopteri; Cypriniformes; Cyprinidae
Source: Ensembl
UACCACAGCCGUAUCACCCUGUAGCCCAAGACUGGUUGCCCACUGAAGCUAAGCGGGGUUGAGCCUGGUGAGUACCUGGAUGGGAGACCUCCUGGGAAAACUAGGUUGCUGUUGGAA